GGAGUAUGGACCGUGUCUCAGUUCCAUUGUGGCCGUUCAUCCUCUCAGACCGGCUACCGAUCGUCGCCUUGGUGCACCUUUACUACACCAACUAGCUAAUCGGACGCAGGCUCCUCGCAAAGCGAUAAAUCUUUAGUACAGAAUCCAUGCGGACUCCGCACAACAUCCGGUAUUAGCGUCCCUUUCGGAACGUUGUCCCCGACUUUGCGGCAGAUUACCUGCGCUUUACUCACCCGUUCGCCACUAAACCCGAAGGUUCCGUUCGACUUGCAUGUGUUAAGCACGCCGCCAGCGUUCGUCCUGAGCCACGAUCAAACUACU
RNAcentral lists this ribosomal RNA (321 nucleotides) under uncultured Veillonellaceae bacterium. Its description in RNAcentral is "partial 16S ribosomal RNA". The record is from RNAcentral. Lineage: Bacteria; Bacillati; Bacillota; Negativicutes; Veillonellales; Veillonellaceae.